RNAcentral lists this ribosomal RNA (460 nucleotides) under uncultured bacterium. Its description in RNAcentral is "partial 16S ribosomal RNA". It matches the Rfam family "Bacterial small subunit ribosomal RNA", at positions 331 to 787 of the family's 1533-position model. The record is from RNAcentral.
CCAGACUCCUACGGGAGGCAGCAGUGAGGAAUAUUGGUCAAUGGGCGGAAGCCUGAACCAGCCAAGUCGCGUGAGGGAAGAAGGCCCUGCGGGUCGCAGACCUCUUUGGACGGGGAGCAAGGCCGCCGACGUGUCGGCGGAAGGAGAGUACCCGUAGAACAAGCAUCGGCUAACUCCGUGCCAGCAGCCGCGGUACUACGUAGGGGGCAAGCGUUAUCCGGAUUUACUGGGUGUAAAGGGGUCGCAGACGGCAGCGCAAGCCAGGAGUGAAUGCCCGGGGCCCAACCCCGGGACUGCUCUUGGAACUGCGCGGCGGGAUUGCGGGAGGUGCAGGCGGAAUUCCUGGUGUAGCGGUGAAAUGCGUAGAUAUCAGGAGGAACCCCGGCGGCGAAGGCGGCCUGCUGGACCGCGACUGACGUUGAGGCUCGAAAGCGUGGGGAGCGAACAGGAUUAGAUACCC